Notolabrus celidotus (New Zealand spotty) is the source of this 1349-nucleotide long non-coding RNA. RefSeq lists it as uncharacterized. Lineage: Eukaryota; Metazoa; Chordata; Actinopteri; Labriformes; Labridae. The record is from RefSeq and is a predicted model, not a curated record. The transcript has 3 exons.
ACUUUCAUCAAAAUGUCUCUCCCAUGAAAAACAACAGGCCCUCUACUGAAUAUUUGACUGCACCAGGUUUUUGGCUGACAUAAUAACACCAUCUCUAAUCUUUCGAGAUAUUUUCAGUCCCAGAAGAAGAGUCCAGAGAUGACAUCACCUCCUUGAUUUCCUGCUGUUUACUCUAGAGGCAGAACUAAACUAAGCAGUAAACUGAGCAUGAUGCAGGCAGAGAGCUUUUUUUACAACCCGUCUGACAAACAGAAACCUGGAGAUGCAAAUGAAAUUUCACACGGUCUCACUGUCGAGGAAAUUGAAUUACCCUGCUUGUUGCCUGAGUUGAGGAAUGCAUCACUAAUGCUUUGAGGCAGCUGCAUGAAGGCCAGGAGAUGCAGAAGAAAGUUGAAGCCAUUGGAUGCAGCCUGAAUCACAGGACAGGAGAAAAGAGACUGAUGAACUCGGAAUUCAAACGCACUACGUGAGCACCUUUGUGUCCCGUUGGUGCCUGGGAUCCCUGCUGCUUUGUUGCUCUCUUGCUUACGAGGCAGAGGGAGUGGAGGAGACAGGGUGCCUGGUUUGUCUCUUUUGUGGCGCGGCUCAAAGGGAGGCAGCUGUGUAUCCUGGGAGUCUGUGCUCCUGUUAUUCACACCUCACCUCCUCCUUUGUGUGCAGCACCCCAAGCAGUCAGAGGGAGCACGUACCCAACCCACCACCGCAGGAUUCAUGGAGCUGUCCGGUUAUCCCCCAUCCUCACUUUUGAACUCCUCAGAGAAAGCCCCCUGCUUUAUGUGCUAACUGUGAUGCUUGAAGACUCUCUCUCUUUUAACAGGUUCCCUUUCCUGCCUGUUUCUUCUUAAGUCAUCUAACGUCUGGAUUUGUCAUGAUCCAGCAGUUUACCACCAUCUUGAAAACAAACCAAGUCAGAUUUAACCACAUUACCUCAGCUACUCAGCCAGGGUCUUAGUGUUCCCUCGUUACUAAGGAAACAGCUAUGACUCAAAUCCUUUUUUUGUAACAGAAGAACAUCAAAGCUUGAGUAUCCAAACCCAACCAAAAUGUAGGCUCAAAAAUCAGUUUUAAGAGGAAACUGCUUUGAUUUGUUCCAUCUCUUCUGUAGAGUUCUCCUCCAAAAGUGGGUUGCGGUGACAAAAAGAGAUCUCUGCCUCAUAAAGUCACUGAGAUGUCACAUUUUAUGAUAACGGUUCUGAGUCGUCACGUCACUGCCUGUCGAGGGUAAUAUGACAUUUGCAUCCUGAUUUGCAUGUCGAUUAGGGAGCGUGACUCAGUUAUUCCUGAUGCAAAUCAUCAUCAUAGAGGGUUUGAUGCUGUGUAAACACUAAAUAAAUAAAAGUGACAUUUGU